CCUACGGGUGGCAGCAGUGGGGAAUAUUGGACAAUGGGCGAAAGCCUGAUCCAGCCAUGCCGCGUGUGUGAAGAAGGCCUUCGGGUUGUAAAGCACUUUCAGUGGGGAAGAAAGCCUUGGGGCUAAUACCCUCGAGGAAGGACAUCACCCACAGAAGAAGCACCGGCUAACUCCGUGCCAGCAGCCGCGGUAAUACGGAGGGUGCGAGCGUUAAUCGGAAUUACUGGGCGUAAAGCGCGCGUAGGCGGUCUGAUAAGCCGGUUGUGAAAGCCCCGGGCUCAACCUGGGAACGGCAUCCGGAACUGUCAGGCUAGAGUGCAGGAGAGGAAGGUAGAAUUCCCGGUGUAGCGGUGAAAUGCGUAGAGAUCGGGAGGAAUACCAGUGGCGAAGGCGGCCUUCUGGACUGACACUGACGCUGAGGUGCGAAAGCGUGGGUAGCAAACAGGAUUAGAUACCCGAGUAG
This 463-nucleotide ribosomal RNA is filed under the name Vreelandella stevensii. RNAcentral describes it as "partial 16S ribosomal RNA". It matches the Rfam family "Bacterial small subunit ribosomal RNA", at positions 338 to 793 of the family's 1533-position model. The record is from RNAcentral. Lineage: Bacteria; Pseudomonadati; Pseudomonadota; Gammaproteobacteria; Oceanospirillales; Halomonadaceae.